GAUCCUGGCUCAGAACGAACGCUGGCGGCAGGCUUAACACAUGCAAGUUGAACGGGAUUUGUGUGGUGCUUGCACCAUAUAAUGAGAGUAGCGCACUGGUGAGUAACACGUGGGAACGUACCUUUUGGUGGGGGACAACAUCUGGAAACGGAUGCUAAUACCGCAUAAGACCUGAGGGUGAAAGAUUUAUCGCCGAAAGAACGGCCCGCGGAAGAUUAGGCAGUUGGUGGGGUAAAGGCCUACCAAACCUACGAU
This 255-nucleotide ribosomal RNA is filed under the name uncultured bacterium. RNAcentral describes it as "partial 16S ribosomal RNA". It matches the Rfam family "Bacterial small subunit ribosomal RNA", at positions 15 to 280 of the family's 1533-position model. The record is from RNAcentral.